Molecule: ribosomal RNA, 468 nt
Filed under: uncultured bacterium
Lineage: Bacteria
Description: partial 16S ribosomal RNA
Rfam family: Bacterial small subunit ribosomal RNA
Source: RNAcentral
GACGAACGCUGGCGGCGUGCUUAACACAUGCAAGUCGAACGGAAAGGCCCUGCUUUUUUGGGGGGCUCGAGUGGCGAACGGGUGAGUAACACGUGAGUAACCUGCCCUUGACUGUGGGAUAACUUCAGGAAACUGGGGCUAAUACCGGAUAGGAGCUCCCGCCGCAUGGUGGGGGUUGGAAAUUUUCGGCGGUUGGGGAUGGACUCGCGUCUUAUCAGCUUGUUGGUGGGGUAGUGGCUUACCAAGGCUUUGACGGGUAGCCGGCCUGAGAGGGUGACCGGCCACAUUGGGACUGAGAUACGGCCCAGACUCCUACGGGAGGCAGCAGUGGGGAAUAUUGCACAAUGGGCGGAAGCCUGAUGCAGCAACGCCGCGUGCGGGAUGACGGCCUUCGGGUUGUAAACCGCUUUCGCCUGUGACGAAGCGAUAGUGACGGUACUGGGUAAAGAAGCACCGGCUAACUACGUG